GGGGGCGAUGAGAUUCGAUUCGGACCUGUGAGCUGUGAGGGGCAUGCCGAGGUGGUCAGGAGGCCUCGUAAAACACCUGACAUCUACACAAGUGCCAACUACAGUCCUGUAGCAGAAGCGGAAGCAAUUCUCGCUUCUGAGGCGCUUACAGUCGCUGCCUAAUUAAAUAGGUAGCGCCGUCGUCCGAUCCGCCUGCGGGCCGGAUGGCGAAAUCAGCAGGCUGGUCCGGUGUUGGGCUGCUGGGCACCGGAUGAGACAACACAGUGGCUUCAGCCCCGCCUCUCUGGCCUUGCGAGGUGGGUGGGGUGAAAUGCUCAACGCAAGGCUACGCAUGUAGAGGGCUCACGCUCUCGAUCCGAAGACGCGGGUGCAACUCCCGCCGCCUCCACUU
RNAcentral lists this transfer-messenger RNA (391 nucleotides) under Candidatus Omnitrophota. RNAcentral describes it as "21-14-0-20-63-9 sp002796105 Standard tmRNA". It matches the Rfam family "transfer-messenger RNA". From Rfam's summary of the family: Bacterial tmRNA, also known as 10Sa RNA or SsrA, is named for its dual tRNA and mRNA-like properties. Lineage: Bacteria; Pseudomonadati. RNAcentral also lists the same sequence under 1 other name. The record is from RNAcentral.